RNAcentral lists this long non-coding RNA (3355 nucleotides) under Mus musculus (house mouse). Its description in RNAcentral is "long non-coding RNA chr15:79873868-79877223". The record is from RNAcentral. Lineage: Eukaryota; Metazoa; Chordata; Mammalia; Rodentia; Muridae.
GGCCAAAUGAUGGGGCGGGAGGGGGUACAUCCAGAGAUAUUUUUUUCUGUUAAGAAGCUGGAACGCCCAUGCAUCAAUCUAAAAAUGGGCUCUAAAGAGGCAGUGUCAACAUUAUCAGUCACCAAAAAUCAGUCAGGUCCCCUGAAAGAGCAGUCAGAGCUCUUCACUGCUGGGCCAUCUCCCCAGGCCCUUGUUUUUAAAACAGAAUCCCAAAUGUUGGAUUGACCAAUGAAAACUCAGGAGCCAAAUGCCAAAGUGAAAGCCGGCCAGCUCAGAGAGGCAGAGAAAGCAGCCAGCUGACCUUCCCCAGUUCCCCUUCUCCACACUGUCUUAAAAACCCUUCCAACUGAAUGUCCCUCCCUUCUACUUCCUGUGUGUCUCUCUAUCUGCCCUCCUGACUUCCUCUCACUCUCUCUGGUUUUUUUCCUGUGUUCACUCUCUUUUAACUGGUUGCUUGGCUGGCCUCUUGACCUGUCUUUGACUUUAUUUAACUCUUGUUUCCCGGAAAGCUCUUGGAUUAAAGGUGUGUGCUAGGGCUGAGUCACACCACAACAAGAAACAAUUUUUUUCUAGUUCACAAUCUCUGGGUUCACAAUGUAAUCAAAUAUCCUUCGACACCUGGAAUACAGAGCCAGGACCUCAAUGCGUGGGUGUCAGGAUCCAUGUGAAGUUUGUCAUUUGGCUGGUUGGUUGGUUUUGCAUAGCCAGGAGCUCAAUGAUUUUCAUCAGAAUGGAGAGAAUAGUGGGUGUAAGAGAAAGAUCUUCUACUAAGUCCUCAGAAUAAGGUUAGCUUUCAGUCCUACCUGUGGAGAGGGUGGGAAGACUAACAGGCAUGGUCCACUAUGUCUCAAGAAUAUGCUAGAAUUUUUAUUUACUCCUUAUGGAAGAUUUAUUACAGAUUUCUCUACCAAGAAUCAAGCUCAAUAUGCGGGUGGAGAGAUGGCUUGUAGACGACCCAGGUUCAAUUCUUAGCACCCACAGGGUGGAUCAUAACUGUCUGUAAUUCUAGUUCUGAAAGACAAUACCUUCUUGCAGCACUUAUGGUCAAAAAGAAGAAAAAAAAAAAAAAAGUCAGGUCCAAGCCAGGCAUGGGGGUGCAUGUCUGUUGUCUCAGCACCUGGGAGGCAGACGCAAGAAGAUCAGGAAUUCAUGGUCACAUGUGAUGACACAGCAAGUUUCAAGGGAGGGAGGGAGGGAGAGAAGAAAGGAGGAAAGAAAGAAAAAAAGAGAGAAAGAAAGAGCUCAUGGAUAUGAACCAGUGAGUUUGGGGUCUGAUACUCAAACCCAGGUCUCCGUCAUCUCUAAGGUCACAUUGUCACCAGUGCCUUGCUAUAGACACUUGCAAAAGUGGACCCAGGGCCUGAAAAACUCCUUGGUCAGUGUCUAGAAGUAAAAAAUGUCAGAAAGAAGGUCACACAGGCAGGGUCUAUUUUUAAUCUGGAUGUGGAGCCAGAAUCUCCCGGGCUAAGGUCAUCGAGGAGGAAGAGGAUCCGCUCUUACCCCUGCAGGGCCCAGAGUUCUGCCCUGUCUCAGAGCUUACUCACAUCAGGUUUCAGGCAGCAUGUGCAAUGAAUGACUGCCAACAACAGAAGUCAUCAGGAAAGCCAAUAAAGAUGUCACAGAUCUGGCAAGAACAAGAAAUAGCUCAGGUGCGGUACUCGGAGGCCAAGGGCAGGCGUUCCUUCAGGUCAUGGAUGAAUCAGCCUGGCAGCCACUCAUCCUUCGACUGGGAUCAAAGGUACAGCCAGCGCACACUCAGAGGAUGCCUUCAAAGGAUGCGUACUAAUUAAAGCAUUUACGGAGCCAGUAUCCACUCUGGUGGGCUAAGCACGCUCCUCUGCUAUUUGGGACGGCAGUGUUGCCUUCCACGCUAGCCACGCCAAUCAGAUUCCUUCUUGAGGAGACGCUCACAGGAUGGUAGGUAGCCCUGGUUCUCUUAGCUCAUCAGAGGGACCUAGAAGGUCAUUGGAGACCUGAGGACACAAUCUGCGGCAGGAAUAGAGUUCCUCUGGAAAUGGAGAAAACUGCCUUAGCAGGAAAUAGAUUGAAGAAACUGAAAGAAUAAAGAGGAGCUGCCUCGGUGGGUGCCACAGACCAGGCUCAGUCGGGCCCCCCUCAAUCCAUGGGAAUCAGGGUCUCGGACAGAUGGGCAUAGAGUUGGCGAAAAUGGGGUGACAAACAGCCAGGACACAAGAGAGUGUGAUGAAUCUGAAUGUAAUUUGUCAAAUCGAGCAUCAAACUGUUUUAUACAGAAGAAAAUAGGGAAGUUAGGUGACACAUCGGCAAGGUACAAUGAGGUUACCGGAUGCUUAAUGACUCUAACACAAAACAGAGGAACGCAAACACAAAGACUGGAAAGAACUGGGCAAUAAAACAACAGAGACAAAGUCAGCUCUAUCUAAGGUCAGCUAUAGUCAUAGAAGCCAGGUGUGAGGUCUUUACACUCCCAGGGCAAGGGCUUUCACGCCCAAGUCUCUAAUUAGGGAGUUCCGCUCUAGCUAACCAUCUCAUGAAUAAUGCAAUACUCUAAAACCACCGCCCGAUCUACUUCCUAAACCAUUGUAAAUUCCUGUAUAUGGGAGCAACUUGGCUUUUAUUCUAAGUGAUAGUGUGGGGGGACUUUCUACUAAUAAGUAAUGUAGUCUGCCAUACAUAACUAUAAUAAGAAUUCUAAACUUACAUUGCUAAGCUUGCCCUGAGAUUUCUAACUCUAUUUAGUAGAUAGUAAUGUCUGAUUUCUUUCACUAUCUCUCUUACAAUACUAGAGGCAAUUCUGAAUGUCACUGAAUCGGCAACAUUCUUACUGAAUUCCAAGCCCAGGGUCAGCUCAAGGACUACCUAGGGCAUUGAUGAAGGCCAGGAAGCAAAGUUCGAUUUUGCUUAGGUAUUUGGCAAGUCAUUGCUUGGAGGCACCUAUAACAAAACAAUACUGAAAGGAAGCACACAGAUCCAUUCCCAAGGACAAAAUUGGAGCAUACGUGCUAUGGGAUGCCACAGUUCCAGGAUACUAAGUUUCCGUGAAACUCUUUGUCUCAGGACUGCAUCCAGGCUUUUGGCCUGUCAUGUGUGUCACUACUGGAGUGGAUGUAGCAGGUGGGGAAGCACUAACACCUGGAGAGUUGGCCCUCACAUCUGGAUGCUUGCUGAGCACUGCCUUCUGGAAAUGAAAGACAGAUCAGUAGAUAUUAAUUUGAAAAACUGUGUGUGUUCAAGGGAUGGUUGUUAUGAGGUCCUUGAAGGUUUCCCUCAACACAAAUCUUCACCAUUCAUUCACACACAGAUCAUCCAUUUGUAGUUUUAAUUGUUUAUUUUAUAUGAGUAUAUCGUAGCUGUCUUCAGUCAUACCAGAAGAGGG